CACCGCCGCGGCCCGGGUUCGAUUCC
Molecule: non-coding RNA, 26 nt
Filed under: Gallus gallus (chicken)
Lineage: Eukaryota; Metazoa; Chordata; Aves; Galliformes; Phasianidae
Also listed under: 2 other names
Source: RNAcentral